UGGAGAGUUUGAUCCUGGCUCAGGACGAACGCUGGCGGCGUGCCUAAUACAUGCAAGUCGAGCGGACCRRAUCGGAGCUUGCUCUGAUUUGGUCAGCGGCGGACGGGUGAGUAACACGUGGGCAACCUGCCCGCAAGACCGGGAUAACUCCGGGAAACCGGAGCUAAUACCGGAUAACACCGAAGACCGCAUGGUCUUUGGUUGAAAGGCGGCCUUUGGCUGUCACUUGCGGAUGGGCCCGCGGCGCAUUAGCUAGUUGGUGAGGUAACGGCUCACCAAGGCGACGAUGCGUAGCCGGCCUGAGAGGGUGACCGGCCACACUGGGACUGAGACACGGCCCAGACUCCUACGGGAGGCAGCAGUAGGGAAUCUUCCGCAAUGGGCGAAAGCCUGACGGAGCGACGCCGCGUGAGCGAAGAAGGCCUUCGGGUCGUAAAGCUCUGUUGUGAGGGACGAAGGAGCGCCGUUCGAAGAGGGCGGCGCGGUGACGGUACCUCACGAGGAAGCCCCGGCUAACUACGUGCCAGCAGCCGCGGUA
RNAcentral lists this ribosomal RNA (538 nucleotides) under Geobacillus thermoleovorans. RNAcentral's name for it is "bacterial SSU rRNA". It matches the Rfam family "Bacterial small subunit ribosomal RNA", at positions 1 to 522 of the family's 1533-position model. Lineage: Bacteria; Bacillati; Bacillota; Bacilli; Caryophanales; Anoxybacillaceae. The record is from RNAcentral.